AUAGAAUUAUGAUAAUGACAUUACCUAUCCAUAAGUCUUGACCAAAUUACGUGCCAGCAGUCGCGGUAAUACGUAAAAGACAAGUGUUAUUCAUCUUUAAUAGGUUUAAAGGGUACUUAGACGGUAAAUAAAGCCUCCAAAAGGGACUAGUUUGCUAGAGUUUUAUGUGAAGGAGUUUUAAAGUACUACUGGUGUAGAGAUGAAAUUCAGUUAUACCUUACAUGGCACAGGUUAAGGCGAAAGCAUCUUCUUAUGUAAAAACUGACGUUGAAGGACGAAGGCUUUGUGUCUCGAACAGGAUUAGAUACCCUAGUAGUCUAAGCAGAAAAUGAUGAAUGUCAUAGAUUAGAUUUAUUUUGAUCUGUAAAUGAAAGUGUAAGCAUUCCACCUCAAGAGUAAUUUGGCAACAUUGGAACUGAAAUCAUUAGACCGUUUCUGAAACCAGUAGUGAAGUAUGUUGUUUAAUUUGAUAAUCCGCAAAAAACCUUACCACAAUUUGAAUAGAUAUAUUUUAUCAUACAAGCGUUGCACGGCUGUCUUCAGUUAAUGUCGUGAGACUUUGGUUAGUUCCAUUAAAUUAACGUAAACCCUUACUUUAUUUUUAUAUAAAGUAGUUCACCGCUAUAUUGGAUGUGAUAAUAGGGAUCAAGACAAGUCAUCAUGACCUAAAUAUUGUGGGCUAUAGACG
Molecule: ribosomal RNA, 688 nt
Filed under: Coppinsiella sp.
Lineage: Eukaryota; Fungi; Ascomycota; Lecanoromycetes; Teloschistales; Teloschistaceae
Description: SSU rRNA
Rfam family: Bacterial small subunit ribosomal RNA
Source: RNAcentral